RNAcentral lists this ribosomal RNA (253 nucleotides) under uncultured bacterium. RNAcentral's name for it is "partial 16S ribosomal RNA". It matches the Rfam family "Bacterial small subunit ribosomal RNA", at positions 524 to 776 of the family's 1533-position model. The record is from RNAcentral.
GACGAACCGUGCGAACGUUGUUCGGAAUCACUGGGCUUAAAGGGCGCGUAGGCGGGCUGUCAAGUCUGCGGUGAAAUGCCGCGGCUCAACCGUGGAACUGCCUCAGAUACUGACGGCCUCGAGGAAGGUAGGGGCAUGCGGAACUGUAGGUGGAGCGGUGAAAUGCGUUGAUAUCUACAGGAACUCCGGUGGCGAAAGCGGCCUGCUGGGCUAUGGCUGACACUGAGGCGCGACAGCGUGGGGAGCAAACAGG